GUGCCAGCAGCCGCGGUAAUACGGAGGGGGCUAGCGUUGUUCGGAAUUACUGGGCGUAGAGCGCACGUAGGCGGAUAGUUAAGUUAGAGGUGAAAGCCCAGGGCUCAACCCUGGAACUGCCUUUAAUACUGGCUGUCUAGAGAUCGAGAGAGGUGAGUGGAAUUCCGAGUGUAGAGGUGAAAUUCGUAGAUAUUCGGAGGAACACCAGUGGCGAAGGCGGCAACCUGGCUCGAUACUGACGCUGAGGCGCGAAAGCGUGGGGAGCAAACAGGAUUAGAAACCCUGGUAGUCC
RNAcentral lists this ribosomal RNA (292 nucleotides) under uncultured bacterium. RNAcentral describes it as "partial 16S ribosomal RNA". It matches the Rfam family "Bacterial small subunit ribosomal RNA", at positions 505 to 796 of the family's 1533-position model. The record is from RNAcentral.